This 465-nucleotide ribosomal RNA is filed under the name uncultured bacterium. Its description in RNAcentral is "bacterial SSU rRNA". It matches the Rfam family "Bacterial small subunit ribosomal RNA", at positions 339 to 796 of the family's 1533-position model. The record is from RNAcentral.
CUACGGGAGGCAGCAGUCGAGAAUCAUUCGCAAUGGGCGAAAGCCUGACGAUGCGACGCCGUGUGAGCGAAGAAGGCCUUCGGGUUGUAAAGCUCUUUCGCCUGUGAACAAGAGAGAGUGGCUAAUAUCCACUUAAUUUGAGGGUAGCAGGUAAAGAAGCACCGGCUAACUCCGUGCCAGCAGCUGCGGUAAUACGGAGGGUGCAAGCAUUAAUCGGAUUUAUUGGGCGUAAAGGGCGCGUAGGCGGAGAGAAAAGUCAGGUGUGAAAUGCCGGGGCUCAACCUCGGAAUGGCAUUUGAAACUUUCUUUCUUGAGGGUAGAAGGAGAAAACGGAAUUCCACAAGUAGCGGUGAAAUGCGUAGAUAUGUGGAAGAACACCGGUGGCGAAGGCGGUUUUCUAUUUUAUUCCUGACGCUAAGGCGCGAAAGCAAGGGGAUCAAACAGGAUUAGAAACCCUAGUAGUCC